Molecule: long non-coding RNA, 2317 nt
Organism: Dermochelys coriacea (leatherback sea turtle)
Lineage: Eukaryota; Metazoa; Chordata; Testudines; Dermochelyidae
Exons: 2
Source: RefSeq, a predicted model, not a curated record
AAGAGUGUGUCAGGGAAUAAGAAGACUCUUGCAGGGUGAGGAGAAAGCCUAGGGAAAUGCUUGAUAGGAAGAAGUCCAGAGAGAUUGCAGCAAGGAGCCUGAUGCAGUGAAUCUUGACUGCUUUUCCUAUGGUCCCUAGACUAGCAUGAUAGCACAGAGUCCUUGAAAAGAGAGUGUGGACAACUGAAAGCCCUGAGAAAAGGAUGUAUGGCCCACUGUGUCUGAGAGUGGGAUGUAGACAGCAGUGAAUAGCAGUUGGAGCAGGAGUUAGUAGCCAGAAUUUGAGUCCAGGAUCAGAGCUGGAUUACCUGGAGUGACACAGAGCUGGGAAUAAUCAGCAGCUAAUGCAACAGUGGGCAAAUGCUUUAAGCACCUGCCAAACAACUGCUGCUGGGCUGCUGACUCUUCAGACAGGGUAACUAAUUAAGCAGCUUUCUAUAGGCUAGCUGUGCUCAUUAGGUUGCCUGAAAAAUGGCUCUGCUACAGGCCCAAAGUCCUCAUGCACUGAGUUCAGAAGUGAAGAUGACAGACCAGAUAGAGAGACUUGUUCUUGCAGGACUCCAUGCCACGCCUGAAGGGGUGGGAGUAAAUGUGACCUGGUGGGAGGUCUGAGUCACAAGAAGAGGCAGAUAGCUGCAGGGCUGGAAGAGGAGAGGCUGCUAUGUCAUGCCCAGCUGCGGGGAAGCCCAGUGGGUGGAGGUGAAAGAGAGGUCAAACUGUGCCCAUUGACCUUUGCCCUCUGACCUCGGUGAACUGAAGGAAAGCCUUUGAAGUAGUGAAGUGCCCACGAAAAAAAGAAAACCAAACAAGUUGCUGGCUUUUCCUUCUUUCCAUGUGAACUGGCAGCUGCUUAAUGGAAGAUGACACUGCUAUGGUGGGCUGGAUGGGGGACCCCAUGCAUUGUUCCCCCCACCCUUACCUCAGCAUGGAGUUAAUUGGCACUGCAAAAAGCCCACCCACUCAAAGAGAGGGGUGGGAGAAUGGAGGAGGCAUAUGAGAAAACAAUCUUCAUCCCCCGUGAGUGUCGCUCACUCUGGUACUCCGUUUCUAUAUCUUCCCCACCUCUCACCCACUCCCCAUGUGCAGGAUCCUCCAAUAAACAUCUCAUUUUUUUAAAUGAGAGAGUCCCCACACACAGGGAGUGGAUGAGAGGUGGGAGAUGGAGAUGGGGAAGAUUUAGGCUUAUGAUAGCUAGAGCUGGAAAAGACCUGCUUAGAUCAAUGAGCCCUUUCCCCUGAAGAAUUGAGAGGACGUGGCAGCUGUUACACGGGUUGCUGCUGUCACAUGCAUGACCCCUUCUGGCAGUUAGGAAAAAGACAGCUUUUUUAUUGAAGACACCCAUCCUUCUCUUAACCUCCCUAUUAUAACAUGCUCUACGGUACAAAGAUCUAGGACUCUGACUCUUAAAGCAUAAUAGACCUUAUCAUUAUUAGAAAUAUAGGCAAAAGGACUUGGCAAAAUACACACCCUUCUCACAAUAUUUUGCCCAUCUCUAGAACUGAACCCAAACCAAAUUUUGUCAUGUUUGAAAUUAUUAUUGAAUAUAUAUUGUGGUAGCCUCAACCUGAGCAUGGCCUCAUUGUGUUAGGUGCUGUACAAACAUUUAAUAAGAGACAGUUAUCUGCAACUUUAAAUCUAUGGGAGGGCUGGGUAACAGUCGCAGAGACUCGUUUUUGCAUAGUUUGUCUAUGUGCAUGUCCAUAGCAUAGCUAUGUGCAAUUUGUAGGUACUGAAGUUAUUUAGUUUGCUUGCUUGUAGGUAGAUUUUGAGGUGAUAGAUAAAUAAUCAUGUUAGUGGCAGUAUUCUCAGCUCCCCUCUUGCCUAGUCCAUAUCAGCUGGUUCCGUAGAAUCAAAGUAGGAAUCUUGUGGCGGGAUUUGAUGGAGACAAUAGUGAGUAUUCCACACCUGUAAGGUGAAGACAUUAGGUGAGUUUUCUACCCCCUCCCUGCCAACAUACUCAACAAACAAUCUGCCUCUCAGGGGAAAGGAAGCAGGGCAAGCCCCAGCAUUACCCCACACUAAUCUUUUUUUUGCUAUCUUCUUACAGGAGGAGGGAGUCUUUGCAGCUAGCUAUGCCUCUCCAGGUUUCUUAGGGGUCAGUGACAAAUGUUUCCCAUCUGAAGUCCAUCUUUGCUGGCGACAAACAGGAGUGCUGGUAAGAGACUGGUCUUUAUUUCCUAGCCUCAGUCAAUUGACAUAAAUCAGGGUAAUGGAUGUUUAAUAUCCCUUGCAUGGGGCCAAUGUCCUUUAACUCCACUAGUGACUGUUACAUUUAAGCAAUAAUGAAAUGCAAAUAAAACAUAAUGUCAACUAAAAA